GAUGUCGAGAUGGAGAUAGGGAAGUGAUGUAGAGAUGAAGAUAGGGAAGUGAUGUAGAGAUGAAGAUAGGGAAGUGAUGUAGAGAUGGAGAUAGGGAAGUGAUGUAGAGAUGGAGAUAGGGAAGUGAUGUAGAGAUGGAGAUAGGGAAGUGAUGUAGGGAUGGAGAUAGGGAAGUGUGAUGGAAUUGUAAUUCCGGAAUUUUCUUGUUUGCUCGUUUUGCAGUUGUUAGUUUUUUAUUUCGAAUCACUGCUUUUCCCGCAAACACGCUGUGUGAAGUUUUUUAGUUUUUCGAGCUAUCAAGAGCCAAAGAUAUUUCACCCUCUCAGGAGGAGGCAGAAUAAAUUUGGAACAUUAAAA
Molecule: long non-coding RNA, 357 nt
Organism: Ostrea edulis (European flat oyster)
Lineage: Eukaryota; Metazoa; Mollusca; Bivalvia; Ostreida; Ostreidae
Exons: 2
Source: RefSeq, a predicted model, not a curated record